RNAcentral lists this long non-coding RNA (5046 nucleotides) under Homo sapiens (human). RNAcentral describes it as "HSALNT0327246". The record is from RNAcentral. Lineage: Eukaryota; Metazoa; Chordata; Mammalia; Primates; Hominidae.
GAGGACUGAAAGGAGUGGUUGCAUCAGGUCUCCCCCACCCUUCUGCCUCCUGCGGUUGCGGCUUUAUUGUGGCCUCUGCUCCCCUGACACCUGCAUUUCACUUAGCGGGAGAGGCGGUGGCCAACUCAGCACAGGCUGCGGACUCAGCGUGGUGACAGAUCCCUCAAGCUAGAAGACUUCUGUUAGGAGAAGCGUUAUCCUGUCAGUUGAUUACCCUGAGUUAUUAUUAUUGCUGUUUGACAGAUGAAAAACUGACAUGGAGAAAAGUUAGACAAUUCCUCCAAAUCACAAAGAUAGUAAGUUGAAAACUUGUGAAAAGAACUCUGCUAUGUCAUAUUUCAAAGUCUAUGACCUCCCCUAUAUGGUACCUUCACUGAUGCUAUUGAAUUUAAAGCAAAUAAAGGAAAUGAAGCACAGCCCAAGUGUUGAUUGGUGGGAAGAAUAAAACAGUCAGAGUAAAUCUCACAUUGAAUGAACCUCCAGUGUUGUGUUGUUAGUUAGAAUUAAAGUCAUUCUCUAGAGUGUAACUUAAGACAGUAUGUCAUUUAAGGGUCAAGAAAUAGUCUGUUUACUCAGCAUUUAUCAGUCCUUUCUUUCCAAACUUUAAGCUAGCUAUAGAAAAAUUCCAGAGAGCCUGGGGAAAGAAACAAAAGGAAAAUUAGGGAAAAGACUUACAAGGUAUGAAGUAUUAGAGAACAUUUUAAAAGGAUAAUCUAUACGCUAUGUCAUUGAUGGCUGCAGCCAUUCUCUAUGCCCAUAAACUAAAUGGGCCUAACUCUUAACAGUGGCUAUUAGGUUAGUUAGAAGAGGCAUGUUUCUGAAAAUUCCAUAGUGAACUUCAUAGCCAGAGGAAAAUAUCUUAUACUUCUUUCUAUUCAAUCAUCCUUGACUCCGAAAGUGCCUCUUAUUUUCUUUUGGUGGAACAGUGGAAAAAAAAUAUCACACUGGAAGGCCAAUUGACUGAAAUCAAGUCCCUUUUCCUAACUGUGUGAACUGGGUCCUUCACAUCACUAUCCUUCAACAACAAGAAAAACAAAAAACAUCCUAUAAAUGUAUAAAGAAGAAAAUGAAAGUUCUUUCUUUGCUACCCCUAGUUCUCUUCCCCUUCCUAGAGGCUAAACUAUUUUGUGUGCAUGUGUGUGUGUGUGUAGAAUGUACACAUAUAUGUAGGGGAUUGGUUCUAGGACUCUGUCCCCUGUGAAUACCAAAAUUCAGGGACGCCUAAGUUCCUUAUAUAAAAUGAUGCUUAUAACCUACGCACAUCCUCCUGUAUACUUUAAAUAAUCUUGAUUACUUAUAAUAUCUAAAACAGUGUAAAUGCUAUGUAAAUAGUUGUUAUACUGUAUUGUUUAGGAAAUAAUGACAAGAAAAAAGUCUGCACAUGGUCAGAACAGAUUCAACCAUUCUUUUUUUAUAUAUUUUUUUCUGAAUAAUUACAAUCCAUGGUUUGUUGAAUCCACAGAUGCAGAACUGGUGGAUAUGGAGGGCUGACUGUAUACAUGUAUCUUCCCCAUAUAAAUAGAACAAUAUUUUAUAUACUGUUCUUCAAAUGGCAUUUUCCCUUUGAAGCUCUUUUCAAAUAUGUAAAAAUCUAUUUUUAAAAACUGCUGCACAGUAGCUCAUAGAAUGAAUCUACCAUAUUUCCUUUACUCUUUCCCCUCUUGGUGGUCCUUUAGGUGGUGUUUGGUUUUUUUCUAUUAUAAAUAGUGUGCAAUGACCAUGCUUGUAAGUGCUUCUAUACUCAUAUAUGUUUCUCUGAGCACAGAUGCCUAGAUCUAGAAGCCAAACAGAUGGGUUGAAGGUGAUACCUAAUUUUAACAUUUGAUGACUCCUGCCAAAUUACCCUCUGAAAAGAAUUUAACAAUUUAUAUUCCUUCCACAUCAUUGCCUCUUUCCCCACAUCAUAAUGUAAGUCUUCUUAUUUUUUACUCACCAAAGGGAGAGAAAUAUUUACUGUUUAAAACUGAGCACCUUUUAAACUGCUUUUCUUUCUUUAUUGGCUUAACUCUUCAAGAUGUGUCUUUUUUCUGAUUGGACUAUUGUUUUUAUCUUUACUGGCUUUUAGAAGCUCUUUAUAUAAUCUGGAUAAUAAGCUUUCGUCAUCAAUAUAUGUUGCAGAUAUUUCCUCUCAGUGUGUCAUCAGAUUUUGUAUUUAUGUCUAUUUAUUAUGUCUGUGACCAUACAAAUUAUUAAAUUUCUUAUAAGGUUAGGCUAAGCUUCUUUCUUUAUGAGUUAAUGGGGGUUGUCUGUCUUAGAAAGGAUCUCUCAUUCCAAACCUUAAAACUAUUCUCCUAAUAAUUUUAGAUUUGUUCAACUGAGAGAGUGCUUAACUCAGGAGAUCAAUAAAGGUUCAUAGAGGAAGAAGUAUUUGAAAUUGUCCUGGAAGAACAAUAUUUUUCAACAGGCAGAGAUGGAGAAAGGACAAUCUACAUGAACAGAACAGCAUGAGCAAAAAGAACUGGUUAGAGACUAUCCAUAGGAUAAAUUUCUAGCAAAUUGCUGAGUCCAGGAUAUGCAUGUUUGCAAUUUUGGAAGAUCUUAAAAACUUGCCUCCUAUAGGUGUUGUACCAGUAUAUACUUCUGCCAGUAAUAGAUGGGUGGGCUGCUGAUGCCUCAAAAUGUAAGUAUUUUCAAACUUUUAAAUUUUAGCCCAUUUAACAUAAUUUAAAAAUUAUGUCUCUGUGUGAUUUUAGUUCCAUUUCCCUUAUUAUAUAUAAGACUGAACAUCUUGGCAUAUGUUUAAGGGCCAUCUGCAUUUCCUUUUCUGUGCACUGUCAGCUUAUAUGCUUUGCCCAUUUUUUCUAGUAGAUGGUUAGUGUUUUUCUUAUUGAUUUGUAUAUAUUCUGUAUUACUCCUUUAUCACAUUGCCACAAAGAAAUGCCUGAGAUGGUGUCAUUUAUAGAGAAAAGAGGUUUAAUUGGCUCACAGUUCCACAGGCUAUACAGGAAGCAUGGCUGAGGAGGCCUCAGGAAACUUAACAAUCAUGGCAGAAGGUGAAGGGGAAGCAGGCACAUCUACACAUGGCCAGAGCAGGAGGAAGAGAGAGAAGGAAGAGGUGCUACACCCUUUUAAGCAACCAGAUCUUGUGAGAUCUCACUAUCGUGAGAAUAGCAAGGAGGAAAUCUGCCCCCAUGAUUCAGUCACCUCCUGCCAGACCCCUCCUCCAACAUUAGGGAUUACAAUUCGACACGAGAUUGCCGGUGGGACACAAAUCCAAACCAUAUCAUAUUCUUUAUACAUUUGGGAAAUUAACUUUUUUCUGUAAUAUGAUUUACAAAUAUUUUUCUCAGAUUGGCAUUUGUUUUUUGACUUUUCAUAUUGUGCAUUUUGCCAUGGGAAGUUUUUUUUGUCAUUAAAUUUACCUAUUCUUUCAUUCAUAUGGCUUCUGGGUCCUAUAUUAUACUUAGACCUUUACCAUUCUGAAAUUAUGUAAGAAAAAUUCUCUCAGGGUUUUUUCCUAGUAAUUUUAAGACUUUACUUUUAAUAUUUUGGAUUUAUCCAGAUGUAGACUAUAAGAUAAGGAUCCACAUUUUUUCCCCAGCUCUACAUUUUGCUGCUAGAAGAUUUUACAAAAUUUUGCAAUUACUUAGUAACUUACAUUUCUUCCCAAUUGAUUUUGAAAUCUGUAAGAGCAGAAACUUUGAUUUCAUAUUUUUAUUCUCUCACAUGCCUGCCCUUUAAUGCACUUCAACCCCAGCCCCAAGUUUUGCCUAGUACUUGGCAGUUAGGUAGUUGUUACUUCUGCAUCUCUUGACUGCUGGGGAGGAAAGAUUCCACCUGAGUUAAGGCAAGUCCUACCCAGGAUGUGGCUGCAAAUGAGACUGCAAAGUUCUCGACCGAUGUCUUUUCAUUAAACUCUGGCUUUUACCAAGUACAAGUACCAAGUGAGUCAUACCGACACAUGUAGAGGAUGGCAUCCUGAGGGGAAAAGAAUUAUAGUGGAAAUAACCAAGGCUGCUUGGAGAAAAGCUUCUCAGCUGGCACUGCAGAACAGCAGCCACUGCCACAGCAAACAGCAAAACAAUAACAAGCUUACUUGCAGAAGGUGGGAAGCUGCAGACGUAAAUGCAGGCUCCCUUCCCAGGCUACCAGCAGUCCCUGGGGAUGAAGUAGUCUAAAUGGGCAGCAGUUGUGGAGUCCUCCCCGCUCACAGGAAUGGAAGAUGUCACUCACUAGCAGAAGUGCUCUGGGGUGGCAAUGAGGAGUACUGUCUUUGGACUCUGACAGGAACAUCUGGAUGGCACCAGGCUCAGGGAGACGGGUCUUGUGUGUCCUGCUAAGCACUAACAGCAAUAAUUGAGCAGCAGCAAUCUGCCUCACAUCAUUCUAGGCCCUAGGAGGGCACAAAGUUGGUUCUUGGCUCAGGUUAUCAGGAAAGUAACGUAUGUGCGUACAAAUAAAGUGUCCAACAGCAGAAAGGGAUGCCCUGAACAGUCCAGGUUGCACAAAGGAGUAUGGACAAACAAGUAGUUUCAUCCAGCUGGGAGCACUAGGAAAGCUCAGAAGGAGGAUGCCUCCAGGAGCCAGUGAGUGUAUUCUGUCACCAGGUGCCUUGGAGAGUGGAGGAUCUGGAGGGCACUUUUUGAGGCUGAUAGGAAGAAAGCAGACGGGUGGAGUGGUAGAUGGAAUGACGCCCUCACCCUCUGCAAUGUUCACAUUCUAAUCCCUGAGAUAUGUGAAUAUGUUACUCUAGCUGACAAAAGGGACUUUGCAGAUGUGAUUAAGGAUUUUGAGCUGGGGAGGUGACUCUGAAUUACAUGAAUGGGCCCAGUAUAAUCACAAGGGUCCUUAUAAUAGGGAGACUGGAGUGUCAGAGUCACAGAUGAGCUGUGAUGAUGGACGCAGUGGUGAGAGAGAGAUGUGAAGAUGGAAGGAGAGGGCCAUGGGCCAAGGAAUGUGGGUGGUCUCUAAAAGCUGGAAAAGGCAAGAAAAUGGAUCCUCCCCUAGAGACUCCAGCAGGAACAAAACCCUGCUGACACCUUGACUGUAGGACUUCCAACCUCCAGAACUAUAAAAUAAUAAAUUCAUGUUGUUUUAAACCACUAA